This 451-nucleotide ribosomal RNA is filed under the name uncultured bacterium. Its description in RNAcentral is "partial 16S ribosomal RNA". It matches the Rfam family "Bacterial small subunit ribosomal RNA", at positions 29 to 523 of the family's 1533-position model. The record is from RNAcentral.
AACGAACGCUGGCGGCAGGCUUAACACAUGCAAGUUGAACGCGUGUAGCAAUACACGAGUAGCGCACGGGUGCGUAACGCGUGGGAACCUUCCUCGUAGUUCGGAGUAACUCAGGGAAACUUGAGCUAAUACCGAAUGCCUCCUCCGGGAGAGAGAUUUAUCGCUACGAGAUGGGCCCGCGUCAGAUUAGGUAGUUGGUAGGGUAACGGCCUACCAAGCCGACGAUCUGUAGCUGGUCUGAGAGGAUGAUCAGUCACACUGGGACUGAGACACGGCCCAGACUCCUACGGGAGACAGCAGUGGGGAAUAUUGGACAAUGGGGGCAACCCUGAUCCAGCCAUGCCGCGUGAGUGAAGAAGGCCUUCGGGUUGUAAAGCUCUUUCAACGGGGACGAUGAUGACGGUACCCGUAUAAGAAGCCCCGGCUAACUUCGUGCCAGCCGCCGCAGUAA